CAGUCGCCGCGGUAAAACGGAGGGGGCUAGCGUUGUUCGGAAUUACUGGGCGUAAAGCGCACGUAGGCGGCUUGGUAAGUUAGAGGUGAAAGCCUGGAGCUCAACUCCAGAAUUGCCUUUAAGACUGCCGAGCUAGCAGGUGAGAGAGGUAAGUGGAAUUCCGAGUGUAGGGGUGAAAUUCGUAGAUAUUCGGAAGAACACCAGUGGCGAAGGCGGCUUACUGGCUCAUACUGGACGCUGAGGUGCGAAAGCGUGGGGAGCAAACAGGAUUAGAUACCCCUGUAGUCCCUGUCUCUUAUAC
This 301-nucleotide ribosomal RNA is filed under the name uncultured bacterium. RNAcentral's name for it is "partial 16S ribosomal RNA". It matches the Rfam family "Bacterial small subunit ribosomal RNA", at positions 509 to 807 of the family's 1533-position model. The record is from RNAcentral.